CCCUUAGAUGUUCUGGGCCGCACGCGUGCUACACUGAGUGGAUCAGCGGGUCAGGUUGCGCGAAAGCGUUUCCUAAUCUUUAAAUCCGCUCGUGAUGGGGAUUGACGGUUGCAAUUUUCUGUCAUGAACGAGGAAUACCUUGUAAGCGCGGGUCAUCAUCCCGCGCUGAAUACGUCCCUGCCCUUUGUACACACCGCCCGUCGCUGCCCGGAACUGAGCCGUUUCGAGAAGACUGGGGACUGCGAACUUUGGGCUGGAAAACAGCUUUUUGUUUGUGGAAACCACUUUAAUCGCAGCGGCUUGAACCGGGCAAAAGUCGUAACA
Molecule: ribosomal RNA, 324 nt
Filed under: uncultured eukaryote
Lineage: Eukaryota
Description: partial 18S ribosomal RNA
Rfam family: Eukaryotic small subunit ribosomal RNA
Source: RNAcentral